This is a non-coding RNA of Pelobates cultripes (western spadefoot toad), 341 nucleotides long. Lineage: Eukaryota; Metazoa; Chordata; Amphibia; Anura; Pelobatidae. The record is from the annotation of a GenBank genome assembly.
GGAAGGCUGGCACAGUGACUGUAUACCAGGGAAGGCUGGCACAGUGAGUGUGUGUAUCAGGGAAGGCUGGCACAGUGAGUGUGUACCAGGGAAGGCUGGCACAUUGACUGUAUACCAGGGAAGGCUGGCACAGUGAGUGUGUAUCAGGGAAGGCUGGCACAGUGAGUGUGUGUACCAGGGAAGGCUGGCACAGUGAGUGUGUGUACCAGGGAAGGCUGGCACAGUGAGUGUGUGUAUCAGGGAAGGCUGGCACAGUGACUGUAUACCAGGGAAGGCUGGCACAGUGAGUGUGUGUAUCAGGGAAGGCUGGCACAGUGAGUGUGUACCAGGGAAGGCUGGCA